GCCCCCGUAGCUCAGUCGGAUAGAGCGGCGGUUUCCUAAACCGCAGGUCGCAGGUUCGAAUCCUGCCGGGGGCA
This 74-nucleotide transfer RNA is filed under the name Gemmataceae bacterium. RNAcentral's name for it is "tRNA-Arg". It matches the Rfam family "tRNA". Rfam says of the family: Transfer RNA (tRNA) molecules are approximately 80 nucleotides in length. Their secondary structure includes four short double-helical elements and three loops (D, anti-codon, and T loops). Lineage: Bacteria; Pseudomonadati; Planctomycetota; Planctomycetia; Gemmatales; Gemmataceae. The record is from RNAcentral.